RNAcentral lists this unclassified non-coding RNA (275 nucleotides) under uncultured fungus. RNAcentral describes it as "partial contains small subunit ribosomal RNA, internal transcribed spacer 1, and 5.8S ribosomal RNA". The stretch from base 1 to 73 matches the Rfam family "Eukaryotic small subunit ribosomal RNA", at positions 1759 to 1831 of the family's 1831-position model. The record is from RNAcentral. Lineage: Eukaryota; Fungi.
GCAAACUUGGUCAUUUAGAGGAAGUAAAAGUCGUAACAAGGUUUCCGUAGGUGAACCUGCGGAAGGAUCAUUAUCAAGUAUCGGCGAGGGCCCUCCGGGGCUCCUCUGUCUGACACCCUUGUCUUUUUGCGUACUGUACGUUUCCUCGGUGGGCUCGCCUGCCGAUAGGACACUUCAAACUCUUCUGUAAUUGCAAUCAGCGUCAGAAAACAACUAUAAUAGUUACAACUUUCAACAACGGAUCUCUUGGUUCUGGCAUCGAUGAAGAACGCAGC